This is a long non-coding RNA of Vidua chalybeata, 3709 nucleotides long. RefSeq lists it as uncharacterized. The record is from RefSeq and is a predicted model, not a curated record. The transcript has 3 exons. NCBI's taxonomy places the organism in Eukaryota, Metazoa, Chordata, Aves, Passeriformes, Viduidae.
CUUCUUUUUAAUAAGGCAAACAGACUGAGCUCUUUUAAGUCUCAUAGUAAUGUAUCCCCUGCACAUCUCAUCCCUGGGAUGAUAUGUAUUUUAUUAAAUAAUUUUUUAAACUCAUUCUGGUUCAUUUUCAGUGCAAUAGAGAAGCUGUUCUAGCAGUCAAAAAAAAAAAAAAAAGGACAGAGUAGUACUGAACAAUUGGAUAAAAGAUGAUGAUUCUAAAGCAAAACAGUGUGAAAAUGGACGGAUCUUUUAUAACACCAGUAUCUAGAGACUGCAGCCAGUGUUGGGAUAGAUUUCAUACUCUGUAAUCAGACAAAGCCUAGAGAUUGGCAGACUUAGUCUACAGAGGCCAAAGAAAAGAGAGGUGAACUAGAAAAAGACACAAAGAGAGAAAACAUCUUGCUUAACUCAGAGAAAAUGUCUAAAAAAGGGCUGAGAAUAAAAAGUAUCUCUUCUGACUCCUUGUAGAUUUCCCCUCCUGCUUCCCUUUAGCUGUAAAUUAAUUUAAUAAAGUGUUCUCUAAAUGAGAUAUCCUUUGUCCAGUCACUGUGUGUCUUGGUUUGAAAAGACAGGAGUCUGUGAAGGAAGGCAAGAGCCUCCCGUGAAAUGGAAAAGGUAAACCCCCUCCCUCCAAAUUACCACAAUUUCAAAAUAAAAAGGCUCUCAGGCAAAGAUAUGGGAAUAACAGUUCUUUACUAGGAAAAAAAAAAUUUAAAAAAUGUAAUUAGUACAAACAGAAUUACUGAUAGAGUCAGAAACCUGACACCCUGAGGAGUCAGGGUGUCAGUGAUAGUCCAGUUAAAUGGUGGCUGUUCCUCCUGGAGUGGCAGAUGAAAUGCUGCUGAAGCGAUGAUCCAGUAGAAGGGUGUAGUUUUCUCUGAAGGUCUGGUGAUAGAGUAGAUGGGCCUGGUUUUCCUCUGGGAAUCCAGUGAAGAGGCUGAGUUGAUGUCCCAAGAAAUGCUGAUUUUAUGCAGGUAGGGAUGCUUGGCUCCUCCCUCUGGGUGGAGCAUCUCACAAUGGGAUGAUGUAACUUUCUCAGUCAUGCAGUGAGCCAUUAAAUGGCCCAUUAACAAAAGAUAUCUCCCCGGAGGGAGACAUUGUUCUUGGAAGCGAUAAGAAAACUGCCCAACAGAAGAUACCUGCCCUACCUCUGACAGAUGGCAAAUAGAAUAUAUGCUUAUCUUACAAGCCAAGACACUGUGCCAGUGUACAGUUGUUUGGAUUUUUUCUAGUGGGUAUGUCUGAUUUUGCUCUGAGAGCUGCAGUAUUAGACUGGUCUUGGACAUAUUCCUUUGACAUCCUUGAAGCACAAAUGAGGACAGCACAGAAAUAGCAGUGGUGAUUGACUCUCCUUCCUCACCAAGGCCAGCAUCUUCUCUGCAGUAAUAGCCAUCUGCUAUCAGAAGAGGACCCGGAAACCGCACAUUAAAUAGACUGCUUGGUGGUGCUGAGCAAUAGGACAAGAGGCAAGAAGCAGAAAAUGAUGCACAGGAAGUUCCACGUAAAUACGAGGAAGAACUUCUUUACACUGUGGGUGACUGAGCAUUGGAACAGGCUUCCCAGAGAGGAUGUGGAGUCUCCCUCACUGGAGAUAUUCAAGAACUGUCUGGAUGCAGUCCUGUCCCAUGUGCUCUAGGAUGAUCAUGCUUGAGCAGGGAGUUUGGACCAGAUGACCCACUGUGGUCCCUUCCAACCUAACACAUUCUGUGAUUAAAUUGCACAUUGUUGGGUGAGGGUUUUGUUCCCACUUCCCUGGGGAGCCUGUUCCAGUGCCCAACCACCCUCUGGGUGAAAAACCUUUUCCUCAUAGCUAACCUAAACCUCCCCUGACUCAGCUUCAUGCUGUUUCCUUGAGUCCUGUCACUGGUCACAAGAGUGAAAAGAUUGGUACCUGCCCCCUCCACUUCCCCUCAUGAGGCUGUUGAAGACUGCAAUGAGAGGUCUCUCAGUCUCCUGUUCUCUAGGCUGAACAAACCAAAUUAUUUCAGCUGCUGCUAAUAAGGCCUGCCGAUUAGUGAGUGGGUGGAGAGGACUUAAUGAAAGGUCUUAUACUGGAGACUAAAAUAGAUUGGAAUUACAGCAUUAUCUGGAGUGAUGAAUGAAAUUUAUCGAGGUUGUUUCCUCAAAAGAAUGCACUGACCAUUGAAAAACUGCCUUUCCCCCACCUUUAUCUGCAUCUGAACUUAUUUAUCUGAAUCAACUUCACUUAGGGACAGGAUGAAACUUCUUUGUUGUGAGAAUGGUCAGACACUGGAACAAGUUGCCCAGAGAAGUUGUGGAAUCUCUGUCCUUGGAGGUAUUCAAAACUGGACACAAUCCUGUUAUAGAUACAUAUUAUAAUAUUGGCUUUUUGCAAAUAUUUAAAUGGAUUUUAUAUGUGUGAUGUUAAAGUAACUUUGUUAUAAAGAUAUAGUUUGUAUUUCUGCUGUUAAUUAAGAUUAGACAUAGUAGUGAAAUAGCUAUGCUUGUGUUAAAAUGCCUGCUUGGAUGGGAUAACAUCCAAUGAACACUGGAUGAGAACACUGUGAUAAGUUAGAAAAGACUGUUUGUUCAUCAAGACAGAAAGAAGAAGCCUUGUGUAGAUAACAGAAAAUCAAAGGAGAAGCCUUGUGUAGAUAACAGAGAAUCAAAGGAGAAGCCUUGUGUAGAUAACAGAAAACCGCCAGACAGAAACUAGUUAGUAUGUUGAUUACUUAAGCUGGUUGUGUAAUUAGAACUUAGGUGCAUAUGGAAAAGACCAUUACAGGGCCGUGGACUUUCGCCGGGGAAGAAGAGAGGAGCUUCCCUCGGGCGACCACCAGAGAGUAGAAGACGACCCCCUAGCAAUAGAGGGCGCAAGCGCAGAGUACACCCAGAGAUACUGCGGCCCCGGAGAAAAAAAAGUAUAAAAAGACUGUGGGAAGGGGGAAACGGUGUGGGCCGUUUUGCGGAGCGGGGACUCCCCGGCUGCACCCAGCGCUGUUUGCUUGCCAUCGCUUGCUGUAAUCAAUAAAUUUCUGAUUGACUCUUGAAAGGCUGAACAAAUUAUUCGCCUCAAUUUAUAACAAUCUGGUGCCGCAACUCGGAUAAGGGCUAUCCGCUGGAAACUCCUCCUGGGGAGGCGCCCUCGCUGCUUCGGCAGCGAGCCCCGCUCAGGAGUCCCCCUCUGGGACCCUUACCGACGAACCCAAAUUCGGUGGCAAGCAAAGAAUAGCCGGCAACCCCUUAAUCUUUGUGCACGAAGUCCCGGGCGAAGACACAGGACUGUAGACUGCAAUUCGGACCGCCGAGAAGGGAUGGACCCACGCAAGCUGAGUUAAAGGACCGAUCACUACGGCUGACCAUUGGAGAGUAACGAGCCAACCUGGAAACCUGAAGGUCACCUUGAAGAAGAACUAACGGACUCAGUACACCUGCUACAGAUAUGCCAACUGUCAGCACUCACCGUCUGAAGAAAGCAUGGACCAAGGCCCAAACUGGAAGUGAUAAGGAGAAGGAGCCAAAACCACAGGCAAGAAACACGCGUGCUCUAAAAAGAUGGACCUGAGGAGGGGUCAUGUAAAAUAGUUCCUGGAAAAUGUAAACUAGUUUAUGGAAAUGCAUAAGGGUUUAUGAAUAUGCAACAGGCUGAUGUAAGGGAAAAGGUAUUUAAGAGGUAUCCCCAAAUGUAACAGUGUGGUCUUGGCUCAGUGCCAAUAUGCACCCAGCCGUAAUAACCUUUGCUUUAUGG